Molecule: long non-coding RNA, 576 nt
Organism: Helianthus annuus (common sunflower)
Lineage: Eukaryota; Viridiplantae; Streptophyta; Magnoliopsida; Asterales; Asteraceae
Exons: 3
Source: RefSeq, a predicted model, not a curated record
AUAAAAAUAAAAACCCCAACUACCCAUAUCUGGGCGUGGAACGAUCGAACAGAGAGGAGAAAGAAAGGGGUGAAACCCUAAUUCAUGAGCAGACCUUCAAAUUGAAAGGGGAAUUGAAGCCUAGUUAAUGCAUGAACUAAGAAUGAUGAUCCUCUAAGCAUACCCAACAUCAAAAUUGAUUCAUGUACCGCACGAGCAUGGAAAGCAAGUGGUAAAGAAAAGAGGAAGCAAGGCAACGGAACCAUGUACGAAACGGACACUCGAGGUAUACAAAUAAUGGAAGUUGUAGGUUUGACACUAAAAUCCAAUGAUGGUGUUCGAAUGGAUGGAUGAAUGGAUUAACAUAAGCGAAAGCAUGAGAUGUUGACGCCUAACUAUGUAUGUUUAAAACUUAUGUAUGAUGUCACUGGUUGCUAACGAUGUGAUUGUAUGUGGUGUCUACAUAGUUUAGCAAAUGUAGGUCCGAAGUAUUAAUAUAAUGGAAUGUGGUAAAUCCUUUUUAAUGAAUGUAUGACAUUUGAUAUUCGAACUUUCCUGUAAGUACUAUGUCUAUUAAAGAACGAAAUUUUGGGUUCA